This 1032-nucleotide ribosomal RNA is filed under the name unidentified. RNAcentral describes it as "bacterial SSU rRNA". It matches the Rfam family "Bacterial small subunit ribosomal RNA", at positions 356 to 1381 of the family's 1533-position model. The record is from RNAcentral.
AGGGAAUCUUCCACAAUGGACGCAAGUCUGAUGGAGCAACGCCGCGUGAGUGAAGAAGGUUUUCGGAUCGUAAAGCUCUGUUGUUGGUGAAGAAGGAUAGAGGUAGUAACUGGCCUUUAUUUGACGGUAAUCAACCAGAAAGUCACGGCUAACUACGUGCCAGCAGCCGCGGUAAUACGUAGGUGGCAAGCGUUGUCCGGAUUUAUUGGGCGUAAAGCGAGCGCAGGCGGAAGAAUAAGUCUGAUGUGAAAGCCCUCGGCUUAACCGAGGAACUGCAUCGGAAACUGUUUUUCUUGAGUGCAGAAGAGGAGAGUGGAACUCCAUGUGUAGCGGUGGAAUGCGUAGAUAUAUGGAAGAACACCAGUGGCGAAGGCGGCUCUCUGGUCUGCAACUGACGCUGAGGCUCGAAAGCAUGGGUAGCGAACAGGAUUAGAUACCCUGGUAGUCCAUGCCGUAAACGAUGAGUGCUAAGUGUUGGGAGGUUUCCGCCUCUCAGUGCUGCAGCUAACGCAUUAAGCACUCCGCCUGGGGAGUACGACCGCAAGGUUGAAACUCAAAGGAAUUGACGGGGGCCCGCACAAGCGGUGGAGCAUGUGGUUUAAUUCGAAGCAACGCGAAGAACCUUACCAGGUCUUGACAUCUAGUGCCAUUUGUAGAGAUACAAAGUUCCCUUCGGGGACGCUAAGACAGGUGGUGCAUGGCUGUCGUCAGCUCGUGUCGUGAGAUGUUGGGUUAAGUCCCGCAACGAGCGCAACCCUUGUUAUUAGUUGCCAGCAUUAAGUUGGGCACUCUAAUGAGACUGCCGGUGACAAACCGGAGGAAGGUGGGGAUGACGUCAAGUCAUCAUGCCCCUUAUGACCUGGGCUACACACGUGCUACAAUGGACGGUACAACGAGAAGCGACCCUGUGAAGGCAAGCGGAUCUCUGAAAGCCGUUCUCAGUUCGGAUUGCAGGCUGCAACUCGCCUGCAUGAAGCUGGAAUCGCUAGUAAUCGCAAAUCAGCACGUUGCGGUGAAUACGUUCCCGGGCCU